UGUCUCUCAAACAGCUAUACCCUGUGGGCCUUUUGAAAGAAAUGCAGACAGAGUGAAGCAACUGACGACUGACUGUUCAGAAGGUGAUGGAGCUGGAUACUGAUGAAAACCAUCACACGUUCCUCUUUUUUAGGAUGAGGUAGGGUUCAACCUGGCCAAGACAAGGAUGAGAGGUCUGAAUUUCAUUGGCCAGCGGGCAACCAUCCAAGUACCUGGACAACGUGGGGCCAACGUCGCCAUGUGUGCAGCUAUAUCGGAAGAUGCUGUGGUUGGACGCAGCCCUCGUAUUGGAUCAUAUAAUGCAUCUCUCCUUGUAACCUUCCUUGAUGAGCUAAAUCAGGUGGAGAAGGUAUACGAUAGGCGCCCUCACGAACAAGCCUGGCUUUGCCACGCCCGAAGAUUCUUCCCAAGAUGUUUGGCUAAUGAAAACAUCCAUUGUGAUGUGGAUGAGAACCUGUGGCCAAAUCCACAAGACAGGGUUUUUUAUUUAUUUAUUUUAUUUUACCUUUAUUU
Oncorhynchus gorbuscha (pink salmon) is the source of this 513-nucleotide long non-coding RNA. RefSeq lists it as uncharacterized. The transcript has 3 exons. The record is from RefSeq and is a predicted model, not a curated record. NCBI's taxonomy places the organism in Eukaryota, Metazoa, Chordata, Actinopteri, Salmoniformes, Salmonidae.